This 253-nucleotide ribosomal RNA is filed under the name uncultured bacterium. RNAcentral's name for it is "partial 16S ribosomal RNA". It matches the Rfam family "Bacterial small subunit ribosomal RNA", at positions 524 to 776 of the family's 1533-position model. The record is from RNAcentral.
UACGGAGGGGGCGAGCGUUAUUCGGAAUUAUUGGGCGUAAAGGGCGCGUAGGCGGCUUUGUAAGUCAAAGGUGAAAUCCCUCGGCUCAACUGAGGAACUGCCUUUGAAGCUGCGGAGCUUGAGGCCGGGAGGGGGUAGCGGAAUUCCCAAUGUAGCGGUGAAAUGCGUAGAUAUUGGGAGGAACACCAGUGGCGAAGGCGGCUACCUGGACCGGUACUGACGCUGAUGCGCGAAAGCGUGGGUAGCAAACAGG